UAACCUGGUUGAUCCUGCCAGUUAGUCAUAUGCUUGUCUUAAAGACUAAGCCAUGCAUGUCUAAGUAUAAAUAGUAUACAGUGAAACUGCGAAUGGCUCAUUAAAACAGUUAUAGUUUAUUUGAUAAUAUUUUCUACAUGGAUAACUGUAGUAACAUAGAGCUAAUACAUGCUGUCACGCCCGACCUUUGGAA
RNAcentral lists this ribosomal RNA (193 nucleotides) under uncultured eukaryote. Its description in RNAcentral is "partial 18S ribosomal RNA". It matches the Rfam family "Eukaryotic small subunit ribosomal RNA", at positions 1 to 197 of the family's 1831-position model. The record is from RNAcentral.